CGUAGCUGAAGAGUGCAGUCGAUGGGAAACAGGUUAAUAUUCCUGUGCUGCUUAUAUGCACGAAGGAGGGACGGAGAAGGUUAGGUAGGCCGGGCGAAUGGUUGUCCAGGUGAAAGUAUGUAGGUAGGAAUGCUAGGCAAAUCCGGUGUUCUGUUGAUCUGAGCUACGAGACGAAGUUAAACUUGUUUGACGAAGCUAUUGAUACCAUGCUUCCAGGAAAAGCUUCUAAGUUUAUUGUAUAAGUGACCGUACUGUAAACCGACACUGGUGGGUAGG
RNAcentral lists this ribosomal RNA (276 nucleotides) under Francisella tularensis subsp. holarctica. RNAcentral's name for it is "partial 23S ribosomal RNA". It matches the Rfam family "Bacterial large subunit ribosomal RNA", at positions 1397 to 1671 of the family's 2925-position model. Lineage: Bacteria; Pseudomonadati; Pseudomonadota; Gammaproteobacteria; Thiotrichales; Francisellaceae. The record is from RNAcentral.